GGGGGUCUUAUUAAAAUGCAGAUUCUGAUACAGUUUGGGUGGGACCUAAGAUUCUGCAUUUCUAACAAACUCCCAGGUUAUGCCAAU
RNAcentral lists this microRNA precursor (87 nucleotides) under Myotis lucifugus (little brown bat). RNAcentral describes it as "miRNA (ENSMLUG00000022900.1)". Lineage: Eukaryota; Metazoa; Chordata; Mammalia; Chiroptera; Vespertilionidae. The record is from RNAcentral.